UAUAUAUAUAUAUAUAGAUAAAUAUAUAAAAUACCCCUAACUUAUAUUUAUUUAUU
Molecule: transfer RNA, 56 nt
Filed under: Bhagadatta austenia (grey commodore)
Lineage: Eukaryota; Metazoa; Arthropoda; Insecta; Lepidoptera; Nymphalidae
Description: tRNA-Glu
Source: RNAcentral